Molecule: long non-coding RNA, 261 nt
Filed under: Lathyrus oleraceus (garden pea)
Lineage: Eukaryota; Viridiplantae; Streptophyta; Magnoliopsida; Fabales; Fabaceae
Description: Pisum sativum (pea) long non-coding RNA (PSAT_LNC008765)
Source: RNAcentral
AGGUUUCCAUCAAAUUGACAAGGUAAGGGGGGAAAUCCUUAUCAUUGUGGGUUAGUAUGAUUGGGUUAAUGAGUAGGAACAUGAUUUAGGUUGAAAUCCUUAAUUGGCAUGGUUUUGUAAUUAUUAGGUCUUGAUAAAUACUCUUGAAUUAUGAUGAUUAAAUUAUGCUAAAACUGUGAAUGAAUAUAUAUUUGGAUGAGUCAUAAUUUUCUGAACGUGUAGCUUUUUACAGAAUCGAAAUCAGAGGUCCGGAAGUCCUCC